GGAACACAUCACGCGGAGUCUCUUGCUGAUUUUACCCCAUGGAGACUGGUUGUGGAUGACGAACGAUAAAAUGGAAGCAUCCAGCAGUGGAGAGAUCAACUGUGUUUGGAAGAGAUCAGAUAGUGUUUAUGAGCACACUGCAUGCCAUAAUUCUGAAGAAUCCAGAGGUAAAAGGUAUUUUACAAGAAACAAAUAUAGUUCUUGUAAUGGAAGCAUUUAGAUGUCACUAUGAAGAGGAGUGAUGGAAAUUCAUAGCAAAUAUAAGGUAGGAAUAGAAAUGCUCAAAAAAUCUAUUAGGUGCUUUUUUUUUCCUGACACUUUGGAUAUCUCCUCUUUAAUAAUGUUCUUAAUUACCAUUGUCUUUAUAUUGUACAAGGUAGACAAGUUGAUUCUAACUUGGUUCUGGCUUCCUUCUUCUGCAAAGAGAGAGAGAAAUAGCUGAAGGUGAAGCCUUGUAGGUUUGUUGCUCCUACGUUCAUUUGGGUCACACGGUGGCUUCUCUCUUGAUUAUGUGGAGGGCUUGGAUUCUUCUAGCCCAAAUAAAACUUGGCCACAUACCUUUGCUCAACAUGCACUGACCUGGGGGAACAAUAUGUUGUAACACAAGUUGCAAUUAGUCAUUAUUUUUUCAGUUCCUGUGUGAGAAACUAUGAUUUUAACAACCAAAACAACAACAGCAGCACCAAAACAAGAUAAAUGUGUGUAGCAAAUUUCCUUAAAUGAGCAUUGCCAGUAUAUUUUUCUCUUGCUAAAUAACCUCCUCCUGGAUCUCAACAUAUUAUUCCCCGCCCUCCCUCAUUUAAUUCAGAAAUAAGGGACAACCCUUCCGCAGCAGCUGUCCAGAGACCACCACAGCCUGUGAGAGUCUCCAGUGGACAACGGUUGUCUGAUUGAGACUCUUCCUGGUGUGCUCAGAAAAACCUGUACUUUUUUUGUUUCAAUUAGUUUUAUAGACAUUUCAAGCUGGGGCCUGCAUUUUUUUGUGCAACCCUGGGGUUCAACAAUUUGAAACUGCUUCACACCAAGAGCAGAGAAACUCGCUCUGUGGUUAUCACCUCAGAGAGACACAAUACCCAAAACCUGAGAACAUUCGCCUUGUUUUGUUGGAGUCAACACAUCUGCCAGGUUAUCUGUCUUCAGUCAACAUGGCUCAUAGAAAUCCAUGCUGAAUUAUUUUUUAGGAAGUUCGGUUUUGUUGACGAUGGAGUUAAAUGUUAUUCGUGUUAAAGUGAGUCUUUAAGAAGAUGGCCGGCUGUGUUUCUACAUAGUUUUGACAUCUGUCUUCAUUUCUCAUUUUUCCUCUAAGAUGUUCUGCACAUAUUUGUCAAUUUCUGUGGUCUGACUCAGAGCACAGGAAGUGUGGGUACUUCUGCUGGUGUCAAUCAUUGGGACUGGAUUAUGUCUAAGCAUCUUCAACCUCACAGGGAGGAGCUUGACCGGAGAAAGAGGCUGAGAACUGCUUCUCUUACCAAGGACCUUCCCCAAGCCAGGCAUCUCCGGAGAUGGUAUGGAGCCUGGGGUAGCUCGGCCAGGCCUUUGAUCACCAGCGAUGCCAUUGCUCUUCCCCGUUUCGCGUCUGCUGUGGCUUGCUGCUGAGGCUGCUUUCAGACCUCUGGAAUCAGAAAAGGAGGUGACUAUAUCAGGUUCAGCAGAGGACACAUCUGGAACCCCUUUCCUGCUGGAGUGGACAGUGGAGGCAGCGCCACAGUGGAUUUUCAUUGGUGUCUCCCCUGGCUGCCUGGUGGCUGCCUGUCAGAGCCAGCGCUUGAGAACGUGGCUGCUAGUGAAAGUGUUUAUGUGUUUAUGUGACCACAGGUAGCAAACAGAUAAGAAACUAUCCGACUGAGGAGCAGCAAGGGUCUGGAGCUACUGCGAUUGGGUGACCUGGGUAGAGACCCUCCUGGAGAUUUCACUCUGACUAGAACUGGAAGGACAAACCCACCGCAGGUAUAGACUCUUGCAUACAAACUGUGUCUUUUUCCUGAGUCCCAUCUUACAACAAAAGACAUACCCAUCAAAUCAGAUUUGCAAUCGAGUUGUUUGUGUCAAAAGAGAAAUGUUGUAAUUAACCUUGAGACUUUUUUCAAGCAGCAGGUUUGCCUUAUAAAUGAAAAAUAAUGAAUAAGCCAAACUGUACCCAGGGGUAUGACAGAGUUUUAACUGGCUUCAUGUAUAGCCAGUGUGGCUGGGAGAAAUGUGAUCUCCAUUUCAUUUCAGAUCUUUCUCUGAACCUUCCAUAUGCAUGCAUGAUGGAAUGGGUUCCCAAAUCCAGCUUGAAAUGUAGUGCAUGACAUACUACCCACGCAAAUAAAAUGAAUAGUUCAAAAUUAUGGGGCACUGACAGAAAAAGCAGACCUUUUAAUAUCUAGUUUCAUUGAGUAAUGCAUUUAAAAUAAUUUGCAAACUGGAAAGGUAAUUAAAAGGGUCCUUUUACUCCCCUAUGCCACAUGUCACAGUCUUUAAUGUUUAAUGAGAGUUGCUCUUUGAGUCUAGGAUUUAGUGAAAGACAUUUGGCUUGGACAAGAACUAAGACAAAUGCUGCUAACAUGAUUCUAUUCAAUUUAGUGCUUUAAAUACUUUCAGGAAUGGUGGAUUAUUUUCAAAGUAAGGUUUGUGGAAGCUGGGAAUUUUGAAGUAUUUUACCUGGAAAUUAUCUAUCGGAAUGCUUCUGUAUG
Molecule: long non-coding RNA, 2675 nt
Filed under: Homo sapiens (human)
Lineage: Eukaryota; Metazoa; Chordata; Mammalia; Primates; Hominidae
Description: HSALNT0353375
Source: RNAcentral